This 2903-nucleotide ribosomal RNA is filed under the name Klebsiella quasipneumoniae. RNAcentral's name for it is "23S ribosomal RNA". It matches the Rfam family "Bacterial large subunit ribosomal RNA". The record is from RNAcentral. Lineage: Bacteria; Pseudomonadati; Pseudomonadota; Gammaproteobacteria; Enterobacterales; Enterobacteriaceae.
GGUUAAGCGACUAAGCGUACACGGUGGAUGCCCUGGCAGUCAGAGGCGAUGAAGGACGUGCUAAUCUGCGAAAAGCGUCGGUAAGGUGAUAUGAACCGUUAUAGCCGGCGAUGUCCGAAUGGGGAAACCCAGUGCAAUUCGUUGCACUAUCGUUAACUGAAUACAUAGGUUAACGAGGCGAACCGGGGGAACUGAAACAUCUAAGUACCCCGAGGAAAAGAAAUCAACCGAGAUUCCCCCAGUAGCGGCGAGCGAACGGGGAGCAGCCCAGAGUCUGAAUCAGCUUGUGUGUUAGUGGAACGGUCUGGAAAGUCCGACGGUACAGGGUGAUAGUCCCGUACACCAAAAUGCACAGGUUGUGAACUCGAAGAGUAGGGCGGGACACGUGGUAUCCUGUCUGAAUAUGGGGGGACCAUCCUCCAAGGCUAAAUACUCCUGACUGACCGAUAGUGAACCAGUACCGUGAGGGAAAGGCGAAAAGAACCCCGGCGAGGGGAGUGAAAAAGAACCUGAAACCGUGUACGUACAAGCAGUGGGAGCACCUUUAUGGUGUGACUGCGUACCUUUUGUAUAAUGGGUCAGCGACUUAUAUUCUGUAGCAAGGUUAACCGUAUAGGGGAGCCGCAGGGAAACCGAGUCUUAACUGGGCGUUAAGUUGCAGGGUAUAGACCCGAAACCCGGUGAUCUAGCCAUGGGCAGGUUGAAGGUUGGGUAACACUAACUGGAGGACCGAACCGACUAAUGUUGAAAAAUUAGCGGAUGACUUGUGGCUGGGGGUGAAAGGCCAAUCAAACCGGGAGAUAGCUGGUUCUCCCCGAAAGCUAUUUAGGUAGCGCCUCGUGAAUUCAUCUUCGGGGGUAGAGCACUGUUUCGGCUAGGGGGUCAUCCCGACUUACCAACCCGAUGCAAACUACGAAUACCGAAGAAUGUUAUCACGGGAGACACACGGCGGGUGCUAACGUCCGUCGUGAAGAGGGAAACAACCCAGACCGCCAGCUAAGGUCCCAAAGUCAUGGUUAAGUGGGAAACGAUGUGGGAAGGCACAGACAGCCAGGAUGUUGGCUUAGAAGCAGCCAUCAUUUAAAGAAAGCGUAAUAGCUCACUGGUCGAGUCGGCCUGCGCGGAAGAUGUAACGGGGCUAAACCAUGCACCGAAGCUGCGGCAGCGACACGAUGUGUUGUUGGGUAGGGGAGCGUUCUGUAAGCCUGCGAAGGUGGCCUGUGAGGGUUGCUGGAGGUAUCAGAAGUGCGAAUGCUGACAUAAGUAACGAUAAAGCGGGUGAAAAGCCCGCUCGCCGGAAGACCAAGGGUUCCUGUCCAACGUUAAUCGGGGCAGGGUGAGUCGACCCCUAAGGCGAGGCCGAAAGGCGUAGUCGAUGGGAAACAGGUUAAUAUUCCUGUACUUGGUGUUACUGCGAAGGGGGGACGGAGAAGGCUAUGUUAGCCGGGCGACGGUUGUCCCGGUUUAAGCAUGUAGGCUGGUUAUCCAGGCAAAUCCGGAUAAUCAAGGCUGAGGUGUGAUGACGAGGCACUACGGUGCUGAAGUAACAAAUGCCCUGCUUCCAGGAAAAGCCUCUAAGCAUCAGGUAACAUCAAAUCGUACCCCAAACCGACACAGGUGGUCAGGUAGAGAAUACCAAGGCGCUUGAGAGAACUCGGGUGAAGGAACUAGGCAAAAUGGUGCCGUAACUUCGGGAGAAGGCACGCUGGUGUGUAGGUGAAGUCCCUGCGGAUGGAGCUGAGACCAGUCGAAGAUACCAGCUGGCUGCAACUGUUUAUUAAAAACACAGCACUGUGCAAACACGAAAGUGGACGUAUACGGUGUGACGCCUGCCCGGUGCCGGAAGGUUAAUUGAUGGGGUUAUCCGUAAGGAGAAGCUCUUGAUCGAAGCCCCGGUAAACGGCGGCCGUAACUAUAACGGUCCUAAGGUAGCGAAAUUCCUUGUCGGGUAAGUUCCGACCUGCACGAAUGGCGUAAUGAUGGCCAGGCUGUCUCCACCCGAGACUCAGUGAAAUUGAACUCGCUGUGAAGAUGCAGUGUACCCGCGGCAAGACGGAAAGACCCCGUGAACCUUUACUAUAGCUUGACACUGAACAUUGAGCCUUGAUGUGUAGGAUAGGUGGGAGGCUUUGAAGCGUGGACGCCAGUCUGCGUGGAGCCAACCUUGAAAUACCACCCUUUAAUGUUUGAUGUUCUAACGUGGGCCCCUGACCGGGGUUGCGGACAGUGUCUGGUGGGUAGUUUGACUGGGGCGGUCUCCUCCCAAAGCGUAACGGAGGAGCACGAAGGUUAGCUAAUCCUGGUCGGACAUCAGGAGGUUAGUGCAAUGGCAUAAGCUAGCUUGACUGCGAGCGUGACGGCGCGAGCAGGUGCGAAAGCAGGUCAUAGUGAUCCGGUGGUUCUGAAUGGAAGGGCCAUCGCUCAACGGAUAAAAGGUACUCCGGGGAUAACAGGCUGAUACCGCCCAAGAGUUCAUAUCGACGGCGGUGUUUGGCACCUCGAUGUCGGCUCAUCACAUCCUGGGGCUGAAGUAGGUCCCAAGGGUAUGGCUGUUCGCCAUUUAAAGUGGUACGCGAGCUGGGUUUAGAACGUCGUGAGACAGUUCGGUCCCUAUCUGCCGUGGGCGCUGGAGAAUUGAGGGGGGCUGCUCCUAGUACGAGAGGACCGGAGUGGACGCAUCACUGGUGUUCGGGUUGUCAUGCCAAUGGCACUGCCCGGUAGCUAAAUGCGGAAGAGAUAAGUGCUGAAAGCAUCUAAGCACGAAACUUGCCCCGAGAUGAGUUCUCCCUGAGACUAUAAGUCUCCUGAAGGAACGUUGAAGACGACGACGUUGAUAGGCCGGGUGUGUAAGCGCAGCGAUGCGUUGAGCUAACCGGUACUAAUGAACCGUGAGGCUUAACCUU